This 468-nucleotide ribosomal RNA is filed under the name uncultured bacterium. RNAcentral's name for it is "partial 16S ribosomal RNA". It matches the Rfam family "Bacterial small subunit ribosomal RNA", at positions 28 to 507 of the family's 1533-position model. The record is from RNAcentral.
GACGAACGCUGGCGGCGUGCUUAACACAUGCAAGUCGAACGGAAAGGCCUUGCUUUUGUGGGGUGCUCGAGUGGCGAAAGGGGGGGUAACACGUGAGUAACCUGCCCGUGACUUUGGGAUAACUUCAGGAAACUGGGGCUAAUACCGGAUAGGAGCGCCUGCUGCAUGGUGGGGGUUGGAAAGUUUCGGCGGUUGGGGAUGGACUCGGGGCUUAUCAGCUUGUUGGUGGGGUAGUGGCUUACCAAGGCUUUGACGGGUAGGCGGCCUGAGAGGGUGACCGGCCACAUUGGGACUGAGAUAAGGCCCAGACGCCUACGGGAGGCAGCAGUGGGGAAUAGUGCACAAUGGGCGGAAGCCUGAUGCAGCAACGCCGCGUGCGGGAUGACGGCCUUCGGGUUGUAAACCGCUUUCGCCUGUGACGAAGCGUGAGUGACGGUAAUGGGUAAAGAAGCACCGGCUAACUACGUG